Panthera uncia (snow leopard) is the source of this 234-nucleotide long non-coding RNA. RefSeq lists it as uncharacterized. The record is from RefSeq and is a predicted model, not a curated record. NCBI's taxonomy places the organism in Eukaryota, Metazoa, Chordata, Mammalia, Carnivora, Felidae. The transcript is spliced from 3 exons.
ACAUUUACUGAGUACUCAUUGGAUCAAACACAAGAAUGUAAUGAUGAAGAAAAUAUUUUUUAUGAAAUUUACUUUCUACCGAAGGAGUAGAAAGUAAUCAAGGUGGAAACAGCUAGAGAAUCAGGAGGAGAAAAAUAAAAUUUUCUAUUUCGUACGUUCCUAGGCAUUUUAUCAGCUCACAUCAUCAAAAGAAGAAGAGUGAAUACAGUACAAGAAGAUAUUUUGAGAGAGAGA